UUUUUUGGUGAUUUUUGAGAAAUUUUUUUAUAAAUCUUUCUGUUCCCAAAAUUACCUGUUCAACCUAGAAUCAAUCUUAUUUGUUUGAUCGGAAAAUCAAUUAUGAGAGGAAAAUGGGAAGUAGUACGAAUUUGGGUGUUGUAUUUACUGCUUCUAUCUGAGUUCUUUCAGGGAUGUUUUUCUGCUUUUAACCUGCCUCGUCCACCAUGGAAGAAACAGUCAAAUUUUGGUUCCUCUGUUGUUUUUCCACUUUUUGGGAAUGUGUAUCCAAAAGGGUAUUAUCAGGUGACACUCAAUGUAGGCCAACCCCCCAAACCUUACUUUCUUGACAUUGACACAGGGAGUGAUCUCACUUGGCUCCAAUGUGACGCACCUUGUGUCAAAUGUAUUCCAGCACCUCACAGUCCGUACAAACCGAAUAAAAAUGUUAUCAAGCAUAAGGAUCCCAUUUGUGCAUCCCUUCACUCACCUGCAAACCAUCCCCGUUACAGUCCUGACGAUCAAUGUGACUAUGAGGUUGAGUAUGCG
This 528-nucleotide unclassified non-coding RNA is filed under the name Hevea brasiliensis (rubber tree). Lineage: Eukaryota; Viridiplantae; Streptophyta; Magnoliopsida; Malpighiales; Euphorbiaceae. The record is from RNAcentral.